GAUGAACGCUGGCGGCAGGCCUAACACAUGCAAGUCGAGCGGAUGAGUGGAGCUUGCUCCAUGAUUCAGCGGCGGACGGGUGAGUAAUGCCUAGGAAUCUGCCUGGUAGUGGGGGGACAACGUUUCGAAAGGAACGCUAAUACCGCAUACGUCCUACGGGAGAAAGCAGGGGACCUUCGGGCCUUGCGCUAUCAGAUGAGCCUAGGUCGGAUUAGCUAGUAGGUGAGGUAAUGGCUCACCUAGGCGACGAUCUGUAGCUGGUCUGAGAGGACGACCAGCCACACUGGGACUGAGACACGGCCCAGACUCCUACGGGAGGCAGCAGUGGGGAAUUUUGGACAAUGGGCGCAAGCCUGAUCCAGCAAUGCCGCGUGCAGGAUGAGGGCC
RNAcentral lists this ribosomal RNA (387 nucleotides) under uncultured bacterium. RNAcentral's name for it is "bacterial SSU rRNA". It matches the Rfam family "Bacterial small subunit ribosomal RNA", at positions 28 to 416 of the family's 1533-position model. The record is from RNAcentral.